AACGAACGCUAACGGUACCCCUAACACAUGCAAGUCGAACGGAUUUUGAUUACAUUUCGGUGUGAUUGAGAUUAGUGGCGAACGGGUGAGUAACGCGUGGGAACAUACCCUUCAGAGGGGGAUAUACACUGGAAACGGUGGGUAAUACCCCAUAAUAUAGAGAUAUCAAAGAGGAAACUCGCUGAAGGAUUGGCCUGCGUCAGAUUAUUGUAGUUGGUUGGGUAAAAGCUUACCAAGCAUUGAUUUGUAGUUGGUCUGAGAGGAUGAUCAGCCACACUGGGACUGAGACACGGCCCAGACUCCUACGGGGGGCAGCAGUGAGGAAUAUUGGACAAUGGAGGAAACUCUGAUCCAGGGAUACCGUGUGAGUGAUGAAGGCCUUCGGGUCGUAAAGCUCUUUCGACAGGGAAGAUAAUGACGUUACCUGUAUAAGAAGCACCGGCUAACUCUGUGCCAGCAGCCGCGGUAAGACAGAGGGUGCUAGCGUUGUUCGGAAUUAUUGGGCGUAAAGGGCGCGUAGGCGGUUUAUUAAGUUGUCUGUUAAAUAUUUUGGCUCAACCAAGAUCCUGCAGAUGAUACUAUUAGACUAGAGUAUGGGAGAGGCAAGUGGAAUUCCUAGUGUAGAGGUAAAAUUCGUAGAUAUUAGGAGGAACACCAGAGGCGAAAGCGACUUGCUGGAACAUAACUGACGCUGAGGCGCGAAAGCGUGGGGAGCAAACAGGAUUAGAUACCCUGGUAGUCCACGCCCUAAACGAUGAAAACUAUCCUUGGGAAUUCGUUCCCGAGUAAAAGCUAACGCGAUAAGUUUUCCGCCUGGGAAGUAAGAUCGCAAGAUUAAAACUUAAAGGAAUUGACGGGGACCCGCACAAGCGGUGGAGCAUGUGGUUUAAUUCGAAGGUACACGAAGAACCUUACCAGCUUUUGACAUGACAGUCGUAGACCUAUGUAAAUAGGUCGUCAUUUAGGUGGACUGUCACAGGUGCUGCAUGGCCGUCGUCAGCUCGUGUUGUGAAAUGUUGGGUUAAGUCCCGCAACGAGCGCAACCCUUGUUCCUAGUUGCUAACAGGUAAUGCUGAGUUCUUUAGGAAGACAGAUGGUGAUAAGCCAUAGGAAGGAGAGGAUGACGUCAGGUACUCAUGGCCCUUAUGGGCUGGGCUACACAUGUGCUACAAUGGCAAGUACAAAGAGAAGCAAGGUGGCGACACUGAGCAAACCUCAAAAAGCUUGUCCUAGUUCGGAUUGAUCUCUGCAACUCGGGAUCAUGAAGGUGAAAUCGCUAGUAAUCGUAGAUCAGAAUGCUACGGUGAAUACGUUCUCGGGUCUUGUACACACCGCCCGUCGCGCUAUGGGAGUUGUUUCUGCUUGAAAGCGAAAUUCUAACCCGAAAGGGAGGAUAUUGUCUAGGGUGGGGGCGAUGACUGGAGCU
Molecule: ribosomal RNA, 1426 nt
Filed under: uncultured bacterium
Lineage: Bacteria
Description: bacterial SSU rRNA
Rfam family: Bacterial small subunit ribosomal RNA
Source: RNAcentral